UGGGGAAUAUUGGACAAUGGGGGCAACCCUGAUCCAGCGAUGCCGCGUGAGUGAAGAAGGCCUUCGGGUCGUAAAGCUCUUUAGGUUGGGAAGAAGUUUACGUGGGGACAAUCCAUGUAGAUUGACGGUACCGACAGAAUAAGCACCGGCAAACUCUGUGCCAGCAGCCGCGGUAAUACAGAGGGUGCGAGCGUUAAUCGGAGUUACUGGGCGUAAAGGGCGCGUAGGCGGUGAGAUGUGUGUGAUGUGAAAGCCCCGGGCUUAACCUGGGAAGUGCAUCGCAAACUAUCUGACUGGAGUAGAUGAGAGGGUGGCGGAAUUUCCGGUGUAGCGGUGAAAUGCGUAGAGAUCGGAAGGAACGUCAAUGGCGAAGGCAGCCACCUGGCAUCAUACUGACGCUGAGGCGCGAAAGCGUGGGGAGCGAACA
Molecule: ribosomal RNA, 427 nt
Filed under: uncultured Aquicella sp.
Lineage: Bacteria; Pseudomonadati; Pseudomonadota; Gammaproteobacteria; Legionellales; Coxiellaceae
Description: bacterial SSU rRNA
Rfam family: Bacterial small subunit ribosomal RNA
Source: RNAcentral